This 1216-nucleotide long non-coding RNA is filed under the name Vigna radiata. RNAcentral describes it as "long non-coding RNA (VRAD_LNC013116)". Lineage: Eukaryota; Viridiplantae; Streptophyta; Magnoliopsida; Fabales; Fabaceae. The record is from RNAcentral.
GGCUACAGGCCAUGAAAUUUGCAUGUGGCCGUUGAGUGAGAUGUUAAGCACAGUUAUAUUGGUUUGUGGCAGGAAGAGGGUGUGUGAUGAGGGAGAGGUUUGGUUGCAAGUAAGAACAAAUGAGGGGUCUAAGGAACAAGUGUCGGAGAUGCCGAAGGGGAAGGGAACGGUAACAUCGCCACAGUUUGAAGAACAGUUUGGCUUUGAUAUGCCUUGAGUUUUAGAUUUUGCAAUAAGCAGGGCAACGAGAAGCAGCUGCAGCAGCAGCUGCUUAGAGUGCACAGACAUGGCUUUGUUUUUCAAGUUCUUGUACUGGACAUUAUCUCUUCUGCUAUUGUAAUGAUGGUGGUUAGAGAGAAUCUAAAGAGAUCAAGAGGAUUAACUCUGUUACUGCAUUGGAUGAUAGAUUCAAACAAGGCUGCAUGCUCUACAAUUUUAAUAUAUCAAUAAUGAUAUUUAUAUACUUAUAGAAUAAUUUUAUUUUUCAUUUUGUAUUCUUUCUCAUUUCAACUGUUUUACUUUGUUUUCUUCAUCAUAUUUUUCUUUCUUUGCUGUAUUUUCAACCUUUCUAAGACCAUGAUUGUGUCGAUUUGUUAGCUAGGAGCAGGACAGCCGGCUGUGGAAGGCAAAAACUGAUUAAUGAAGGUAUGUGUUAAAAAAUAAUUAAUAAAAUUAUGUAUUAAUUUGUAUAUAGUUUUAGUUCUUAAUUUACUAUAUUUUUACCUUUCACGCAUUUGUUAUGUAUGAUUAAAUUUAUCGAGUAAAUUCUAUUAAUAAUUAUAAAAAUUCUUGCAAAAAUGAGUUCAUUUGUAAGCAACAAUGACAGAUUUUAAAUCAACAAUAUUUUAAACCGAGUUCUUGAAUUAAUUUAAUUCUAUGAAGUUACUGGUAAUGAUAUAUAUCCAUUCAUUCAUUUGGGUAAAUACAAAAAGGGAAAGCAUUUUCAUUAGUAAUAAUCUGAACAAUGGUGACAGAACAUUCAAUUGUACAUCAUAGCAUUUAUCGAAUCACUUGUUAACGUUUCUGAAAAUGACACUCAUCAACGAUACCUUAUAUUACUUUUGAUGCAGAACUGAGGGAUGAUGAAAUUAAAAAGGUUUAUCGUGGCCAGCAUAAUAUGUAUAUAUUGAAUCUUCGAAUUGGUCCAUAGACAAAGCACCUCCAAGUAUGCACACUUCAUCUACCAUCCCAUAACGGUGACAUCACAUCGUUGCAA